This 225-nucleotide ribosomal RNA is filed under the name Triticum aestivum (bread wheat). RNAcentral describes it as "partial small subunit ribosomal RNA". The record is from RNAcentral. Lineage: Eukaryota; Viridiplantae; Streptophyta; Magnoliopsida; Poales; Poaceae.
CUGGACUUUCCACAGUUCGACGGUAAGAACCCGCAGUUCUGGAAGGCUAGAUGCGAAACAUACUUUGAUGUGUAUGGGGUUCAGAGAGAUCUUUGGGUUCACGUGUCAAUGUUGCAUUUCACAGGAGCCGCGGCAUGCUGGCUCCAGUUGCACGAAUCGGACAGUAGAUCCUUUACCUGGGAGGGUCUCUGCACCGCUCUGAAUGAGAAAUUUGGUCGCGACCAA